RNAcentral lists this ribosomal RNA (520 nucleotides) under uncultured bacterium. RNAcentral's name for it is "partial 16S ribosomal RNA". It matches the Rfam family "Bacterial small subunit ribosomal RNA", at positions 28 to 523 of the family's 1533-position model. The record is from RNAcentral.
AGCGAACGUUAGCGGCGGGCCUAACACAUGCAAGUCGAACGAGAAUGUAGGCUUCGGUCUACUAGUAAAGUGGCGGACGGGUGCGUAACACGUGGGUAAUCUACCUUCCGGCGGGGGACAACAGUCCGAAAGGAUUGCUAAUACCGCAUACGUCAGCGGCGCCUACGGGCGCUGUUGGGAAAGAUGGCCUCUCCUUGGAAGCUAUCACCGGAAGAUGAGCCCGCGUCCCAUCAGCUAGUUGGUGAGGUAAUGGCUCACCAGGGCUAAGACGGGUAGCUGGUCUGAGAGGGUGAUCGGCCACACUGGGACUGCGGCACGGCCCAGACUCCUACGGGAGGGAGCAGUGGGGAAUAUUGGGCAAUGGGCGAAAGCCUGACCCAGCCACGCCGCGUGAGUGAUGAAGGCCUUCGGGUCGUAAAGCUCUGUGGGGAGGGACGAACAAAUCUGGGGCUAAUCACCCGGGUCCUGACGGUACCUCCUUAGCAAGCACCGGCUAACCCUGUGCCAGCAGCCGCCGUAA